RNAcentral lists this unclassified non-coding RNA (258 nucleotides) under Hevea brasiliensis (rubber tree). The record is from RNAcentral. Lineage: Eukaryota; Viridiplantae; Streptophyta; Magnoliopsida; Malpighiales; Euphorbiaceae.
GCUAAUGUCACUUCACCAACACUUCCGUGCUCACUGGAAAUGAUAUCUUGUUUUAAGGAUGAUUUACCAGCAUUUAGAGCAGAAACUGAAUUCUCCUUGUAGUUCAUAUAAGAUUUUAUGCUUUCAUCUUCUUCCCUAAUCUCAGGUAUUUCGUCAUCAUCUUGCACCAUUGAAGCUUGAAACUUCAAAUCCUCCAGAUCAAAGUUCCAGGCACUAACACCUCGUUGGUAUUCACUCUGUGAUAUUGCUUCUUGCUCG